UAUUAGAGAAAGAUGCGAAGAAGCUCGGUUCCAAUGGAGGAAGUACAGUUUGGGAAAAUAAAUCCAGUAAAAUCAAGACUCAUACCAAAAUCAAUGAUACCCACAUCAACGGGAGCAUUAGAGGGAGAUAAAUUUCUUGCUACGGGGGAACGUGUUAGACUUAGGAAGGAGACUUAUGAGAGCUUUGAAAUCAACAACAUAACUGCUUCUUCAUUACUGGAUUUACCCACACAAGGUGUUUGCUCAAAAACCUGAUCGACCAGUACUUGAACCAAGAUCGUAUUAUUGUUGUUGAUUUAUAUGGUUGGCGUGUGGUGGCUGUAUGGCUUGUGUUUGAAUUGGUAGAGGAUGUCUUAGACACCGGGAUAAGCAAGGAAACUUGGGCCCUAGUCUAAUUCAAUUUUGGCUUGGAUUUGGGAUUGUUUUGCUCACUGGAAAAUUAGUUCAAAACUGAUGUAGUGUCGUGAAAACAGCCAACAAGUGAUGUCUCUGUUCGUAGUUUUACGAAUUGAAUGAAUGUAAUUGGUGAUGUUUUAGUAUUUGUGUAUGUAUGGAUUGUUGGUUUGUUUAA
This is a long non-coding RNA of Papaver somniferum (opium poppy), 571 nucleotides long. RefSeq lists it as uncharacterized. The transcript has 2 exons. Lineage: Eukaryota; Viridiplantae; Streptophyta; Magnoliopsida; Ranunculales; Papaveraceae. The record is from RefSeq and is a predicted model, not a curated record.